Epinephelus fuscoguttatus (brown-marbled grouper) is the source of this 5801-nucleotide RNA transcript. It is a transcript of the gene named caldesmon 1b, with no coding region annotated. The record is from RefSeq and is a predicted model, not a curated record. The transcript is spliced from 18 exons. NCBI's taxonomy places the organism in Eukaryota, Metazoa, Chordata, Actinopteri, Perciformes, Serranidae.
GGCAGGCUUUGCCUUUUCUGGUAGUUAAAGCUGCUGAAAGAACAAGCAGGAAUUCUUUGUGCUGCAGACGGGCUGAGAUAUAAACCAGGCUGUAGAGGUUGAUAUAUGAAGAGAGGGGAGACACUACUGUCCAUGGACUAAACUCCAGCUACUGCUAAGUGAGAAAGUGAGGAGAAUCAUUUGGGCAUCAUGGACGAUGACUUUGAACGCCGCAUGGAGCUGAGGAGGCAGAGGAGAGAGCAGAUGCGCCUCGAAGCGGACAACAUGGGUUGCGCCAACAAUGAUGAUGAGGAGGCAGCUCGGGAGCAAAGAAGACGUGCAAGGGAGGAGAGGAAGAAGAUGAGGGAACUAGAGGAGUCUGGAACCUCCGAUGUGAUUGAAACCAACAGCAUGACAGAGACAGAGUCCUCCACCACCACCACCACCACUGCUGAAGGUGCCGAUGACGACCAGGCUUUGCUGGAGCGCCUGGCCAAGAGGGAGGAGCGCCGGCAGAAGAGAAUGCAGGAGGCCCUGGAGAGACAGAAGGAAUUGGACCCCACCGUCGGCACCACCAACGGCACAGACAGCACACUGGAGGAGCAGUCCUCCAUCAGCAGCAGCAGACAGCGGCAUACAGAGGAAGAAGAGGGGAAGAAGGAGGAGGAACUAGCUAAAGAGGAGGUGGCAGACGCUGAUACCAACUCCUGGAGGAAAGAGGAAGAGGAGAAGAAGGAAGAUGUGGAGGAAUCUGUUGACGAAUCAAGAACAAGGAGCACGAGAAAUGAGGAGGAAAUUGAAGAGAAGGCUCCAGCAACAGAAGAAGCUGAGCAGCCUGAUGCAGGAAUGAAAGAUGCCGAAGAGGAAGCUGUUCCUGAUGUUGACAAGGAGGAAGAGGAAAGGAAAAGGAGAGAAGAAGAGGAAAGACAGCAAAAAGAAAAGGAGGAAAAGCAGAGGAUAGAAGAGGAAGAAAGGCUAAAAAAGGAACAGGAGGAAAAGCUCAAGAAAGAGGAAGAAGAGAGGCAGCAAAGGGAGGAGGAGGAGAGGAAGAAGAGAGAAGAGGAGGAGAAGCAGCGAAAGGAAAUGGAAGAGAGGCUGAAAAAAGAGGAAGAAGAAAAACUGAAAAAGGAGAAGGAGGAAAAAAUGAAAAAAGAGGAGGAGGAAAGGCAGAAAAAGGAGAUGGAGGAGAGACAGAAGAAAGAGGAGGAGGAGAAAAGAAAGAAGGAGAUGGAGCAGAAGAAGAAGAAAGAGGAGGAAGAGAAACGCCGGAAAGAGCUGGAAGAGAAGAAGAAAAAGGAGGAGGAAGAGAAGCAGAAGAAGAAAGAGCUGGAGGAGAAGAAGAAGAAGGAAGACGAGGAGAAGCGGAAAAAGGAGGCUGAGGAGAAGAAGAAGAAAGAGGAGGAGGACAAGCGAAGGAAGAGAGAGGUGGAAGAGAAGAAGAAGAAAGAGGAGGAGGAGAAGCCCAAGAAGUUUGGUUUUAAGGAAAAGACUGAACCAACCAAACAGAACGGAGCGCUGUUUGAGAAUAAACUUAAGAAAACAGAGAAGACAACAAGUGCUCCCUCCUCAAAGGCAGAUGAUGCGGAGCGAAAGGAGGCCGAGCGUAAGCUGCAGGAGCUGAAGCGCCGGCGAAAUGAUGCAGAAAGCGAGGACGUUGAGAAGAUGAAGCAGAAGCAGCAGGACGCAGAGGCUGAGCUGGAGGAGCUGAAGAGGAAGAGAGAGGAGAGGAGGAAGAUCCUGGAGGAGGAGGAGAAGCAGAAGAAACAGGAGCUAGAGGACAAGAAAGCCAAAGAACAGGAGGAGAGGAAGAGGAUGAAGGAGGAGAUAGAGAAGAGGAGGGCGGAGGCUGCAGAGAAGAAGAAACAGAUGGUGGAAGAAGACUCUACAAAACCUGCCUUUGCUAUCAGUCCCAAAGGCUCCUCAAAGAUCGGGGCGAAGGCAGAAUUCUUGAGCAAAUCAGCCAGUAAAAGCACCGCAGCCAGAGUGUCUCACACUCCGAUUGUCUCCAAGAUAGGCAACAGACUGGAGCAGUACACUUCUGCCCUCCAGGGAGCCAAAGACACCAAAUCCCCAAAGCCUGCGGUGGCAGAUAUUCCUACAGGAGGCGCGCGCAGCAUCAAGAACAUGUGGGAGAAAGGAAACAUCAGCAACACCUCUGAAAGUCCAGCUCCUACUGUCAAGGAUGUGGCUGGUAUCAAAGGUGGCGUGGCCGGACGUGUCAACAGUUGGAUGGCAAAGCCUCCAGAGGCGGAGAAGACAGCAGCACCUGCGGCAGCAGCACCAGCAGCAGCAGCAUCACCAGCAAAGCCAGCAGAUGUGAAACCAGGUGACGUCGGUAACAAGCGUGGCAUGUGGGAAACCAAGAAGAGCUCUACACCUGCCAAGUAGACCUAAUAGAAGGGUGAAAGAGGUGGCAGUUGGAGUCAGGAGCAAAUUUCACUAAUGGAGGCGUGAAAACCGAACCAUUGACAUCCCCGUUUAAAUUAAGCCUCACCUGACCAGACACAAGGCUCUGCUACUGUAUGUGCAUCCAUUUCCCCUCAACUUACCUGUGCUUUGCAUGAAGCCCACACCAGAGUGAGGAAAAGACGAAGGACCAGGAUAAGUGACUCCCAGCAUCAAUGUCUCCAGAGAUUUUUCCUCAAAAGUUAAAAAAAAGUAUGUUUUCAUCAGACUUGACUUGAUUUUUUACUAAAGAAUUAAAAGACGAUUUUAUACGUAGUGACGACCCAGUCGCCAGAAUAGAUGUUGGCAACGUUUCUGCAAACCAUGGAUAUGUUACAUCUUGUCUGUCAUUAUGUAGGAGAGAUGUUUCAACAAUGCUGUGGUUAAGGUGUGGUUUGGUUUAGGCACAAAACCUACUUGGUUAUGGUUUGGAAAAGAUUAUGUUUUGGCUUAAAAUACCCAGUUUCGGGGGCACAUUCGCAGCAGGAAAAGCAGAGAUAUCUGCAAAAAUCAACCACUUUUUUGCCACUAUACCUGCCGGAAACGCAGCAAUGUCUUGUUGAAAAUCAACCACCGUUUGUGCCACUAUCCUUGCUGGAAAAGCAGCAAUGCCUCAGCAAAAAACAACCACUCUUCGAGCCUUAAAAGCCACAGUGAUGGAUCCUUAAAAUACCCAUAUUUGGGUGUUUUGCAAAUAUAACGUGUUCGUAGUUUGCAGAAACAUAGACCAACACUUUCUUUUGCUGACUGGGCUGCUAGUAAGGCUUUUCAGGACAAAGUGGCACAUGUUUAAUGCUUAGUAGGUUAAGGAUUGUGUAGUGUCCAGCUGUUUUAUCAAGGUUACAAAUUUCAGAUGGCUGUGCCUGAAUGUUAUAUUGCUCACUGACAUGUCUGCUCUUCUUGUCGUGUAUUGUCAUAUAGCUUAAUCCAAAUAAUAGGCAUUUGUGUUUUAUUGUCAUACACACUCACUGCUUUUUGGGAUGAUAGUCACUGUUUUGACUCCAUGUGAUAACCAAGGCUGUUUAAUGUGCAUCUCACCGCUUAGAUUAAACUGCCACUGAGCUGGAUGUUGGGUGACGAACCUGUACAUAAUAGAGUCAUUUCUCAAGUCAGCACCAUUUUCUAAUAAGGCAGCCUUUAUUAAGGGUUUAUGAAUAGUAACUUAAGACUUUAUUAAUGGUUAAUAGUGGUUGAUAAGUCAGUAAUGAGAGCAGUUUUUGGGUUGCCAUGUCUUUUGCAUGCAUUGCCUUGAAGUUUGGUGCAGACAUUCAUGGUGCCCAGAGGAUGAAUCCUAAUGACAGUGAUGAUCCCCUGACUCUUCAUAUAGCGCCACCAGCAGGUCAAACUUUUCACUUAUCCAGUGAAAUAUCUCAAAAAUCUAAUGGAUGGAUUGGCACUCAUCCCUGAGGGUAAAGCCUUCUGGCAUGAUGUGAUUUUGCCAAGCAGGAAAUGCUCCUAGAUCAACUUCCCACGUUGCGAUCAACCAAUCACAGCCCUGUGACAUCGUCAGUGUGCUGCUCAUGUGCUUCCAAUUCCUUGGUGCAUCUUCUAAGCUAUUUUUCCAAAUUGAAGUUAGUUGGUUAUAUUGAACAAUAUCCUCAGCAACACUGAAUAAAACCUCUAUGAGCUACUCCAGGGUUAGUGAGGUGGCUUGCUAAGUGGGUAAGCUAGGCUAUGCUAACAAGUAAGCUGCCAAUAGGCUAGUAUAUAAGCCAGGUAGUUUGCUAUCUAAGUCAGCUAUGCUGCUACAUAGGCUUGUCGAUAGGCUACAGUAUUAGUGAGUUAGCCUGCUAAAUUGGUAAAGUUAGGUCAUGCUAACAAUUAAGUUUUCCAGUAAACUAGACUAUUGUUCAAUUACAAAGAGUAAGGAUAAUAGCUAACUCGGUAAUAUUCUAGUCUAUUGGCAAGUUUUCUUGUUAGCAUAGCCUACAUAUUUAGCAAGCCAACUCCUAAAUAUUUUAGUCUAUUGACAAGUUUACUUGUUAGCAUAGCCUACACAGUUAACAAGCUAUAUUGCUAAUAUUCUCAUCUAUUGGCAAGUUUACUAGUUAGCAUGAACUUCUGAAUUAGCGAACUAACUCGCUAAUAUUCUAGCCUAUUUAUAAACUCACUCGUUAGCAUAGCACCUAGUUAGCAAGCUAACUCGCUAAUAUUCUAGUCUAUUGGCAAGUUUACUUGUUAGCAUAGUCUUCCUAGUUAGCAAGCAAACUCGCUAAUAUUCUGGUCCAUUAGCAUGUUUACUUGUCUACCUAAUUAGCAAGCUAACUCGCUAAUAUUCUAGUCUGUUAGCUUGUUAGCAUAGUCUUCCGAAUUAGCAAGCUAACUCGCUAAUAUUCUAGUCUAUUGGCAAGUUUACUUGUUAGUAUAGCCUUCUUAGUUAGCAAGCUAACCCACGGCACACUGAUGUGUCAGAGGGCUGUGAUUAUUAUUGUAAUGUUGGUCCAGGAAUGCAAUUUGGGAUGUUGAUCCAGGAACAUGUCCUACUUGCCAAAAUCCUUUCUGACUGAAAGUACUGCUAUUAAACUUGGUACGCACAUUCAUGUUUCCCUUGGAAUGAACUUCAUUAACCCCAGCCUUUCAUUUAGUGCCAUCAUCAGCUGAACAUUUUGUUUAUGACCAAAUACCUGCACAAAUAAUAUACCUAUCAGCCUCAGCUGACCUUUGUGUUUGGUAUUAAUUAAUCAGAGAGUCCUGUCAGCUAUGAAGGACCGUUGGACCACUGAGUGCCCAUUAUACAAACUGAAUAGACUAUUGUAAGUAUUCUUCAUUCAUGGCUUAUUAGCAAUUCUAACUACAGAGUUAAUUGCUUAUUAGAAAAUGAGAGCCAUAAGCACCUAAGUUUAUAAAGAGUGUCUUAUUAUGAAGUGGCACAUUCAGCCCAGGACCGCAGCCAGAGAAACACAGUGUGCACGCCGUUCAAUGUUUCUGUCAACAAAACAUGGGUUUGUUACCUUUUUUUAAACUUUUGGCAGUUUAAAAAUCACAUUAUUGUGUAAUAUAAGCACCAACAAAGUCUAUGAAUACGAGUGUAAGCAAGUAUCCACUGUAACAACUAUUCAGUGACCAAAUACAGUUUUAUUUAACAGGCUGGUAGCAGUCUUGCUUUUCUAUCAUCUGUUUACGUGCCACUAACAAUGCAGUUUAUUUGCAGCAGCUGCAACAGACAUAGAGGUUAAAAGACAAUGGCAACGUGCACUCUGUUUUAACAAUGCCUGUAAUUAACUUUAACUUGUAUCCCGGUGUUCCUGUCAGUCAGCUGUGCACAUGAGUUGAAUCCUGCCAAAAUGUAUUGUGAGUGUUUCAGCGGAGGGUUGCUUUGUUUGAAUAUUUGAUAUUAUUGUUUGUAUUUGCUUCAGCAAUAAAAAAAAUAAAGGAAC